CAGCAGCCGCGGUAAUACGAAGGGUGCAAGCGUUAAUCGGAAUCACUGGGCGUAAAGCGUGCGUAGGCGGUUUGUUAAGUCUGCUGUGAAAUCCCCGGGCUCAACCUGGGAAUGGCAGUGGAUACUGGCAAGCUAGAGUGUGUCAGAGGAUGGUGGAAUUCCCGGUGUAGCGGUGAAAUGCGUAGAGAUCGGGAGGAACAUCAGUGGCGAAGGCGGCCAUCUGGGACAACACUGACGCUGAGGCACGAAAGCGUGGGGAGCAAACAGGAUUAGAUACCCCCGUAGUCCCUGUCUCUUAUAA
This 301-nucleotide ribosomal RNA is filed under the name uncultured bacterium. RNAcentral describes it as "partial 16S ribosomal RNA". It matches the Rfam family "Bacterial small subunit ribosomal RNA", at positions 509 to 809 of the family's 1533-position model. The record is from RNAcentral.